Molecule: ribosomal RNA, 576 nt
Filed under: uncultured bacterium
Lineage: Bacteria
Description: bacterial SSU rRNA
Rfam family: Bacterial small subunit ribosomal RNA
Source: RNAcentral
UCCUACGGGAGGCAGCAGUAGGGAAUCUUCCGCAAUGGACGAAAGUCUGACGGAGCAACGCCGCGUGAGUGAUGAAGGCUUUCGGGUCGUAAAACUCUGUUGUUAGGGAAGAACAAGUGCUAGUUGAAUAAGCUGGUACCUUGACGGUACCUAACCAGAAAGCCACGGCUAACUACGUGCCAGCAGCCGCGGUAAUACGUAGGUGGCAAGCGUUAUCCGGAAUUAUUGGGCGUAAAGCGCGCGCAGGUGGUUUCUUAAGUCUGAUGUGAAAGCCCACGGCUCAACCGUGGAGGGUCAUUGGAAACUGGGAGACUUGAGUGCAGAAGAGGAAAGUGGAAUUCCAUGUGUAGCGGUGAAAUGCGUAGAGAUAUGGAGGAACACCAGUGGCGAAGGCACUUUACUGGGCUAUUACUGACACUCAGAGACGAAAGCUAGGGUAGCAAAUGGGAUUAGAUACCCCAGUAGUCCUAGCCGUAAACUAUGGAUACUAGAUGUUGAACAGAUCGACCUGUGCAGUAUCAAAGCUAACGCGUUAAGUAUCCCGCCUGGGGAGUACGGUCGCAAGGCUAAAACUCA